GAAAGCAAGUAAAUCGAAGAAGAAAUGGUUCGGGAAAAAGCAUCCAGUACCAGAUUCUUCAACUUUGGUUGUUACUACUGUUUCUCCUCCUCAUCCUGUUCCUCCAGCAGAAGAGGUCAAGCUGGCUGAAGUGGAACAAGAGCAGACUAAACAUGUUUAUUCUGUUGCAGUUGCCACGGCAGCAGCAGCUGAAGCAGCUGUUGCAGCUGCCCAGGCUGCUGCGGAGGUUGUUCAGUUAACUACAGUUAAUCAGUUUUCUGGCGAAUCCAAGGAGGAAAUAGCAGCAAUCAGGAUUCAGACUGCAUUUCGAGGAUAUCUGGUAUGCAUCUGUACUCCUAUGCAUUCAAGUGAUUUUUCCAUUUCCGGGAAAGUUUCUUUCAGAUAUUUUAUGAUAAACUUGAUUCUCUCAGUUUAAAAAAAAUGCAAUAGAAGGCCAGGGGCGGAGCCACAAGCUUGCAUGGUUCCGUAGAACCCAGUAGCUUUGGCCCAAACCUUGUAUUUUUCUUCAAAACUAAUUUAAUAUAUUUAAAUAAUUUAUCCAGAUCCCAAUAAACUGCCCUUUCUGAAAUUCAGAACCCAUAAACUCAAAAUUCUAACUCUACCUCUGAGAAAGCUAUAUUGCUGUACUUGUGAGAACAUGUAAUAAAUGAUCUGGUACUGAGAUAUAACUUACCGUGGGGAUUUCUCAUUUGCAGGCCAGAAGGGCAUUGAGGGCUUUAAGAGGACUUGUGAGACUCAAAACACUAGUUGAUGGACCUACUGUCAAACAGCAAACUGCAAAUACUUUGAAAUGUAUGCAGACUCUAUCACGCGCC
This 815-nucleotide long non-coding RNA is filed under the name Nicotiana tabacum (common tobacco). RNAcentral's name for it is "long non-coding RNA (NTAB_LNC019193)". The record is from RNAcentral. Lineage: Eukaryota; Viridiplantae; Streptophyta; Magnoliopsida; Solanales; Solanaceae.